This 463-nucleotide ribosomal RNA is filed under the name uncultured Syntrophus sp. RNAcentral describes it as "bacterial SSU rRNA". It matches the Rfam family "Bacterial small subunit ribosomal RNA", at positions 920 to 1382 of the family's 1533-position model. The record is from RNAcentral. Lineage: Bacteria; Pseudomonadati; Thermodesulfobacteriota; Syntrophia; Syntrophales; Syntrophaceae.
CCCGCACAAGCGGUGGAGCAUGUGGUUUAAUUCGAUGCAACGCGAAGAACCUUACCUGGGCUUGACAUCCCGGGAAUCCCUUGGAAACAAGGGAGUGCCCUUCGGGGAACCUGGAGACAGGUGCUGCAUGGCUGUCGUCAGCUCGUGUCGUGAGAUGUAGGGUUAAGUCCCGCAACGAGCGCAACCCUUGUCUUUAAUUGCCAUCAUUGAGUUGGGCACUUUAAAGAGACUGCCGGUGUUAAACCGGAGGAAGGUGGGGAUGACGUCAAGUCCUCAUGGCCCUUAUGUCCAGGGCUACACACGUGCUACAAUGGCCGGUACAAAGGGCUGCAAGACCGUGAGGUUGAGCGAAUCCCAGAAAGCCGGUCUCAGUUCGGAUUGGAGUCUGCAACUCGACUCCAUGAAGUCGGAAUCGCUAGUAAUCGUGGAUCAGCAUGCCACGGUGAAUACGUUCCCGGGCCUU